Long non-coding RNA from Pelusios castaneus (West African mud turtle), 3239 nucleotides. The record is from Ensembl. Lineage: Eukaryota; Metazoa; Chordata; Testudines; Pelomedusidae.
GCGGCCUUUAUUUCCUCUUUGCACAGCUCUUCCCAGCUCACUAAACACCCACAACCGUCACUGGAGUCCUGGCCAACCAGUGCACACACCCAGCUCAGGGACCAGCUCCCCUGGCCCAUGGUGCUCCUGCUGGGAACACAGCCACGCUGGCGCUCGAGCAGGCGACAGAUGUCCCUGGUGGCCGCUCUCAGCCUGCCCCGUGUCCCUGGCCCUGAGGGCACCACUCCCACGGCUCCGGGAAUCUCUGCUGGGUCAGGGUGGAGGCUGUUCACGGCUCCUGGACCAGUUCAGAGCUCAAUCCCCCUCCACAGCUCCAGCAGCAGGCGAGCCCCCGUCCUCAUAGCUCCUGGGCCGGAGCCACCUGGGCCAGCACCUGUGCCCACCCCUGGCUCCUGGUCUACUUGAGGAAGACGAGCAGGAAGAAGACAGAAAUGAUGAGGAUGAGGAUGCCCAUGGCGAAACACAGGCGCAGGUUCUCCACCGAGAUGGGGGGCUGAGCGUCUGCGGGCGCCGCUCGGCCUGGGAGCCCCACCAAGAAGGCAUUCUGCACCUCCUGCACGUGGAGUCCAUUCCAGGUCCGUGGGCUGCCAGGGACGGACAGGCUGUACGGGGUGACCACGCCGCUGAUGGUGAAGACGGACGAACGGGUCACGUAGUUAAACUCCACGUCCAGGGACAGAGAGGAGAUGCUUGUGGAGCACUCUGAGGUGCUGGGGGACGCCUCCUCCUCCUCCUCUUGCUCUUCCUCCUUUGAGGCUGAGUUGCCCAUUGCGGGGAGCCCAGGGCCGCACUGGGCCGCCGUCUCCCGCAGAAUGGCCUCGUUGUUCGGCAGGGCCUGGGGGCCCUGGUCAGGCACCAGGGUCACCGUCCUGCAGAAGGGGCAGACCACGAAGGAGACAGCCUGGGCCUGGCAGACCAGCUUCCGGAGGCAGUUUCGAUCCGCUCUGGACAGGAGACAGGCAGCAUUUGCGGCAUGGUUAGUGCUGUUUCGUUUCCAGACGUGUUAUUCCGAAGACCACACCUACAGGACGGACACAGAGCAGCACAACAAAGGGCGUUCCAGAAAAACCUGGCGUGCACGUUUGGCCCUUUGCUCUUCCAUGUUUAUUCCCUACUUUGACUUUACACAGCUUCUGCUCGAGAUGUUUUACAUUAAUCCUCGAAGAUGUGUUCACACGGUUUACAGGCGUGUUAGUGAAAUGUGGCUACUUCUCCCGCUUUUACUCACGUGAGCACAGCUGCGCCUGGGGCCGUGAGUCUCUGCUCUCAGUCAGGUUUGGACUCUGCACUGCGUGAAUUACAAGAAGCUAUUCUGUGGUUAAAGCAACACUUUCCAGUUUUGCUCAGAGGACCCAGACCAGACACAGGCAGUCUCCACCGCUCUAUUAAUUUCCGUGGAAGUGUUUGUUUUUAAACCAAUUUGUUCCCUCCCCUUGUGGCAGUAUUUGCACCUCAGGGCUGUGUACAGGACAGAACCUGGGAGUGAAGUGACUGGAAAACGAAUGGCAACAAGCCUGAAACGUCCCAGCUGAGUGAAAAGCAGGAGUGAUCAGGCAGACCACAAAGAAUGAAAAUCGGAUUGAAAAGUUAAGCUACAGUGUUUUGAAUAAGCCAGUUACCCAGACACCCUCCCUUGUAACUUAGCAGCACCUCUUCAAUGUGAGUUCGAGUUAUUUACCAUCCGGCCACCAAGAGAAAAAAGGCCAGUGACUGCCCAGAGCAACGUCGUCGUCUGUGUGGACAGGGAGCCCGUGCACAUCUCGUCUGUAUUGCUUUGUGGCUCUUAUUGCCAAUGGCAAGGUGCACCCCAGCCAGCCUCCCGGUCCUCACCUGCCUCAGAUGCCAUCCCCACAGUGACCGAAAGAGGCCGUGGGGUGAGCAGGCUCUGUGGGCCCAGAAGUGCCCUGGGGGGCUGUUGAGGAGCACUGCCAGGGGUCAGGGGACACAAUGGUUUCCUUGCGUCAGGCUUUGCAGUGAGGAUAGGGAGGUGAAAUCUGAUCGGUGCUACACCCAAGUUGAAACCAUUCAGCGUUAGCUGCACGUGCAUCUCAUUGGGACACGGGACCGGACGCUCGGGAAGCGUCAGGCUGCCCCUUUUCAGCCUGUGGUUUGGACAGGCUCCCAGCAUUCGGGGGGCUCAGAAAGGCGAUCAUCCACCCUUGGUCCUGCACUGACCGGCACGCUCCCUCCGUGUGGGCUGCGCUCAGGACGUGCUGGACGCACGAGAACAUACGGUAACGUUCAGCGUCACUCACUCUGGGGGCUGUGAAGGGGAUUUAACAUCUCAACAGUGAACACUUUUUGGUAAAGCACUUUUAGAAGCUGCGUUUCUAUAUUCAAUGAAGUACUCGCUGCCCCGGCGCACUGUUCUCCGCCUCUGACAGUCCAUGGUGUUGGGACACAGACAGCCCUUUGCUCCAGCGGCCCAUCCGUGGGCAACACUCCAAGCCGGCAUUUCCUCGCCAGGCUUGUGUGUGGUCAGCGAACACCCCCAUUAACCUCCUUCCCACCGGCAUCGUUCGGGAGCACGCUCGUGACGGCUGGAUGUGAAGCCGAAGAGGUGGGUCCAGAAGUGUCUGCAGUCAAGGGGAGUCGACAUCCCACAGAUGUUGGGAGUUCCAUGUCUAUUUUAGUAUCAGUGUCAGUGGGAGAGGGAGCAGUUUUCUCUGGCCUGGGUUUCGUCGCUGUGUCUCCUGCCAGACUUACUUUUUCCAGAGUUCGUACUUACAUCAGGCCCAGAUUAACGAAUCAAGAGCUCACACAAAAGGACAGCAACAGAGCAUGCAGGAGGCGCGGCCGGCUGUGUCAGCUAGGCCAGCGAGAUGGGGUCCGUCUGCACAGCGGUGCAGAUACUUCCUUCCAGCCCCAGGCCGCUUAAAACCCACGGAGCUUGGAGGGUGAGUCCCAGAGCUGUUCCACUGCCCUCCUAUGGAAAUGCAGCUGGUGAGUGCAAAAUAUGCUCGAGAAAAGGCCAUGUGUCCAAAGGAGAAGCUCACAUUUGCUUGCCACGUCCAAAUCAUCUUCCAGUUCUUCAUCCCAGCCAAUCCAGGUCCUCAUCGUCAUCGUCCUCCCCGAAGAGCGGGGUCGGAGGCGGGCGGCCUUUCAUGCUCUGAAAGCCCAAUGAGACAGCAGAGUGAAGUCACGAAAGCCGAGCAGUCCCUGAGCUACUGGGGCUCUGUGGACCACGAGUCUCCGUAGUCUCGGGAGACGGCACCAGGACACCUCCCAGCCCAUUUCCU